RNAcentral lists this ribosomal RNA (200 nucleotides) under uncultured bacterium. RNAcentral describes it as "partial 16S ribosomal RNA". It matches the Rfam family "Bacterial small subunit ribosomal RNA", at positions 8 to 210 of the family's 1533-position model. The record is from RNAcentral.
AGAGUUUGAUCCUGGCUCAGGACGAACGCUGGCGGCGUGCUUAACACAUGCAAGUCGAACGAUGAAGCCCCUUCGGGUGGAUUAGUGGCGAACGGGUGAGUAACACGUGGGCAACCUGCCCCCUACUCUGGGAUAACUCCGGGAAACCGGGGCUAAUACCGGAUAUGACCUCCUGCCGCAUGGCGGGUGGUGGAAAGUUU